ACGCUCGACACCUACGGGAGCAGCAGUGAGGAAUAUUGGUCAAUGGGCGCUAGCCUGAACCAGCCAAGUAGCGUGAAGGAUGAAGGCUCUAUGGGUCGUAAACUUCUUUUAUAUAAGAAUAAAGUGCAGUAUGUAUACUGUUUUGUAUGUAUUAUAUGAAUAAGGAUCGGCUAACUCCGUGCUAGCAGCCGCGGUAAUCUGAGCGGGCUGGCAAGGC
This 217-nucleotide ribosomal RNA is filed under the name uncultured bacterium. RNAcentral's name for it is "partial 16S ribosomal RNA". It matches the Rfam family "Bacterial small subunit ribosomal RNA", at positions 328 to 539 of the family's 1533-position model. The record is from RNAcentral.